UGGGGAAUAUUGGACAAUGGGCGAGAGCCUGAUCCAGCCAUGCCGCGUGUGUGAAGAAGGUCUUCGGAUUGUAAAGCACUUUAAGUUGGGAGGAAGGGCAUUAACCUAAUACGUUAGUGUUUUGACGUUACCGACAGAAUAAGCACCGGCUAACUCUGUGCCAGCAGCCGCGGUAAUACAGAGGGUGCAAGCGUUAAUCGGAAUUACUGGGCGUAAAGCGCGCGUAGGUGGUUUGUUAAGUUGGAUGUGAAAUCCCCGGGCUCAACCUGGGAACUGCAUUCAAAACUGACUGACUAGAGUAUGGUAGAGGGUGGUGGAAUUUCCUGUGUAGCGGUGAAAUGCGUAGAUAUAGGAAGGAACACCAGUGGCGAAGGCGACCACCUGGACUAAUACUGACACUGAGGUGCGAAAGCGUGGGGAGCAAACA
This 427-nucleotide ribosomal RNA is filed under the name uncultured bacterium. Its description in RNAcentral is "partial 16S ribosomal RNA". It matches the Rfam family "Bacterial small subunit ribosomal RNA", at positions 355 to 774 of the family's 1533-position model. The record is from RNAcentral.